AGUGAACGCUGGCGGUAGGCCUAACACAUGCAAGUCGAACGGCAGCACAGUAAGAGCUUGCUCUUACGGGUGGCGAGUGGCGGACGGGUGAGGAAUACAUCGGAAUCUACUUUUUCGUGGGGGAUAACGUAGGGAAACUUACGCUAAUACCUCAUACGACCUACGGGUGAAAGCAGGGGAUCUUCGGACCUUGCGCGAUUGAAUGAGCCGAUGUCGUAUUAGCUAGUUGGCGGGGUAAAGGCCCACCAAGGCGACGAUCCGUAGCUGGUCUGAGAGGAUGAUCAGCCACACUGGAACUGAGACACGGUCCAGACUCCUACGGGAGGCAGCAGUGGGGAAUAUUGGACAAUGGGCGCAAGCCUGAUCCAGCCAUAGCGCGUGGGUGAAGAAGGCCUUCGGGUUGUAAAGCCCUUUUGUUGGGAAAGAAAAGCAGCAGGUUAAUACCCAGCUGUUCUGACGGUACCCAAAGAAUAAGCACCGGCUAACUUCGUG
RNAcentral lists this ribosomal RNA (492 nucleotides) under uncultured bacterium. RNAcentral's name for it is "partial 16S ribosomal RNA". It matches the Rfam family "Bacterial small subunit ribosomal RNA", at positions 29 to 507 of the family's 1533-position model. The record is from RNAcentral.